GGGGUGAGCAGUGUCUUCCCCACUGAUUGUGGGGGCUUGGCCGUCCCACCGGCUUUGGCCAACAGCCUGUGGGCAGAAGUGACAGAGGAUUGAAAUGCGCUUGGGAGCUGGACUUGGGCUCUGCACUCUUGAUUUGCUAAGAGCACAUUCCUGGCUGGUCUGUUGGCCAAAAAGGUGGAGACUCAAGGGGAAAAGCUGAACCCCACCUGGCGCAGGGAGCCAGCUCCAGCUGCGCUGAGGGUGACGUUUUGAGACACAGUGUCAUUUUCCUCAGCGUUAUUAUGGCAACGGCUGGAUUAGAGAUCGAACAAACCACUUCCUCAUCCAGAACGUGGGCCCUCCUACCAACCACAGCGUGUAAGGUGCCUGGGGCGUUCAGCAGGCCACGGACUCUGUGCUCACGUCCCCCCCAUCCAGGGCUCUACCCCUGGGGGACCUGAGGUAUGUGGGGGCCCCCGUGUGGCUCCACAGUUCCACCACCUCCUCCGCACGGAGCAGAGCAGAACUGGGACCUGUAAUUCCGCAGGCCUUAGGCUGCUGUUGGCUCUUCUGAACUUGUACCCUUGUUUCAAUUUAGGGCUCUAAGAAUUUAUGUUUUGGGUUCAACCAUACAUUUAAAAUGGUUUUUGUUGUCUUUUUUUUUUUUUUUUUAAGACAGCGUGCAAGCAGAGUUGGACACGGGGCCCAAUCCCAUGAUCCUGGGAUCAUGACCUGAGUUGGAAAACACAUUGGAUGCUAAAACGACCGAGCUGCCCUUAAGAUGAAAUUUGUGAAAGUUCAUCUUAGCCAGCAUUUUGGGAACUCAGUAGUGGGAGGUGCUUCAAAGCUGGUGGAAUCUGGGAGCCUCACAUGGGAGAGCAGCAGCCAAGGGCCUGGGGCUGAUCCCAGCACAUCUGCCCUCAGUGCUCACCAGAGGGCAGCGUGGAGUCGUGUGGAGCCCGGUCUCUGUUCCUGGCAAAGAUGAGGACCCCCUGAGCCCAGCCAUGAGCCGGCGCCCGACGCAGGAGCCCUCUGCACCCUGGCCAUGGAGCUGCUGACCCUGCCACCACCCCCCAGAGUGGAUGUAUCCGAGCCCCCCUGUCACGGAGAUGUGAACAUGGCUGCACACGCUCUUCCACUUGGUAGAGGUGAGCCUUCCCUCAGGGUG
Molecule: long non-coding RNA, 1147 nt
Filed under: Suricata suricatta (meerkat)
Lineage: Eukaryota; Metazoa; Chordata; Mammalia; Carnivora; Herpestidae
Description: lncRNA (ENSSSUG00005004727.1)
Source: RNAcentral